RNAcentral lists this ribosomal RNA (253 nucleotides) under uncultured bacterium. RNAcentral's name for it is "partial 16S ribosomal RNA". It matches the Rfam family "Bacterial small subunit ribosomal RNA", at positions 524 to 776 of the family's 1533-position model. The record is from RNAcentral.
UACGUAGGUGGCAAGCGUUGUCCGGAUUUACUGGGCGUAAAGGGCGUGCAGGCGGUCUGUUAAGUGCAGGGUGAAAGCUCCCGGCUCAACUGGGAGAGGUCCUUGCAUACUGGCGGACUUGAGGGGGGUAGAGGAAAGUGGAAUUCCCGGUGUAGUGGUGAUAUGCGUAGAUAUCGGGAGGAACACCUGUGGCGAAGGCGGGUCUCUGGGCCGAUACUGACGCUGAGGAGCGAAAGCGUGGGGAGCGAACAGG